RNAcentral lists this ribosomal RNA (565 nucleotides) under Salmonella enterica. RNAcentral's name for it is "partial 23S ribosomal RNA". It matches the Rfam family "Bacterial large subunit ribosomal RNA", at positions 689 to 1251 of the family's 2925-position model. RNAcentral also lists the same sequence under 2 other names. The record is from RNAcentral. Lineage: Bacteria; Pseudomonadati; Pseudomonadota; Gammaproteobacteria; Enterobacterales; Enterobacteriaceae.
UGGGCGUUAAGUUGCAGGGUAUAGACCCGAAACCCGGUGAUCUAGCCAUGGGCAGGUUGAAGGUUGGGUAACACUAACUGGAGGACCGAACCGACUAAUGUUGAAAAAUUAGCGGAUGACCUGUGGCUGGGGGUGAAAGGCCAAUCAAACCGGGAGAUAGCUGGUUCUCCCCGAAAGCUAUUUAGGUAGCGCCUCGUGAAUUCAUCUCCGGGGGUAGAGCACUGUUUCGGCUAGGGGGCCAUCCCGGCUUACCAACCCGAUGCAAACUGCGAAUACCGGAGAAUGUUAUCACGGGAGACACACGGCGGGUGCUAACGUCCGUCGUGAAGAGGGAAACAACCCAGACCGCCAGCUAAGGUCCCAAAGUCAUGGUUAAGUGGGAAACGAUGUGGGAAGGCCCAGACAGCCAGGAUGUUGGCUUAGAAGCAGCCAUCAUUUAAAGAAAGCGUAAUAGCUCACUGGUCGAGUCGGCCUGCGCGGAAGAUGUAACGGGGCUAAACCAUGCACCGAAGCUGCGGCAGCGACGCUGAUGCGUUGUUGGGUAGGGGAGCGUUCUGUAAGCCUG